Molecule: long non-coding RNA, 93 nt
Organism: Octopus sinensis (East Asian common octopus)
Lineage: Eukaryota; Metazoa; Mollusca; Cephalopoda; Octopoda; Octopodidae
Exons: 3
Source: RefSeq, a predicted model, not a curated record
GGAAAGUGGACUCCACACUGAACUUUAUUGCUCACAAUGAUCAUUUCAACACAUCCUGCAUUGAUCCCUUGUAGGUGGGAGACUGUACAACUG